AUGGCUGUCGUCAGCUCGUGUCGUGAGAUGUUGGGUUAAGUCCCGCAACGAGCGCAACCCUUGUCCCUAGUUGCUACGCAAGGGCACUCUAGGGAGACUGCCGGUGACAAACCGGAGGAAGGUGGGGAUGACGUCAAGUCCUCAUGGCCCUUAUGGGUAGGGCUUCACACGUCAUACAAUGGCCGGUACAGAGGGUUGCCAAAGCGCGAGCUGGAGCCAAUCCCCAUAAAAGCCGGUCGUAGUCCGGAUUGCAGUCUGCAACUCGACUGCAUGAAGUCGGAAUCGCUAGUAAUCGUGGAUCAGCAUGUCGCGGUGAAUACGUUCCCGGGUCUUGUACACACCGCCCGUCACACCAUGGGAGCGGGAUGUACCAGAAGUAGGUAGGCUAACCGCAAGGGGGCCGCUUACCACGGUGCGUUUCGUGACUGGGGUGAAGUCGUAACAAGGUAGCCGUAUCGGAAGGUGCGGCUGGAUCACCUCCUUUCUCGGAGUCAGGUAACGACCUUUUAGAUGAGCUGACAGCAAUGUUGGCCAGUCGGAACGGUUGCUUACCCAACGUCCAGAGCUUCAAGUGCUCACGCUUCUCGGUUGUUCGUCAGGUGUUGACCUGAAUCGGGCCUGUAGCUCAGUUGGUUAGAGCACCGUCUUGAUAAGGCGGGGGUCGAUGGUUCGAAUCCAUCCAGACCCACCAUUAUCGAAGGCAAGAGGGGGCUGUAGCUCAGCUGGGAGAGCACCUGCUUUGCAAGCAGGGGGUCGUCGGUUCGAUCCCGAUCAGCUCCACCAGUUAACGAGGGCAGAGGUAAGCGAAAGAGCGUUUACCUCUGAUCUUUGGAUCGGUGCCGAGAAGGUUCGGUCGUUCUUUAACAACAUGGAAGAAGUAAAGCGUCUUGCUCGAAAGGAGCGGGAUUACGCGCGAGCGUGAUUCGGCUUUGAACGGGCGAGACUGGGUUAGAUUGUAUCGAGCCUGCUCGAUCUUUAGUCGGAGCGAGCGGGAGUGCGCAAACACCUGUAAUGCGAGUGCGAAGUAGUGCGUAGCGUUAUGGGGUCAAGCGACUAAGUGCAUGUGGUGGAUGCCUUGGCGAUCACAGGCGAUGAAGGACGUGGCAACCUGCGAAAAGCUCCGGGGAGCUGGUAAACGAGCAUUGAUCCGGAGAUGUCCGAAUGGGGAAACCCGG
RNAcentral lists this small RNA (1175 nucleotides) under uncultured beta proteobacterium. RNAcentral's name for it is "bacterial SSU rRNA". The stretch from base 1 to 484 matches the Rfam family "Bacterial small subunit ribosomal RNA", at positions 1045 to 1533 of the family's 1533-position model. Lineage: Bacteria; Pseudomonadati; Pseudomonadota; Betaproteobacteria. The record is from RNAcentral.